CCGCAUGGCGGAAGGUGGAAAGUUCCGGCGGAGAAGGAUGGGCUCGCGGCCUAUCAGCUUGUUGGCGGGGUAACGGCCCACCAAGGCGACGACGGGUAGCCGGCCUGAGAGGGUGACCGGCCACACUGGGACUGAGACACGGCCCAGACUCCUACGGGAGGCAGCAGUGGGGAAUAUUGGACAAUGGGCGAAAGCCUGAUCCAGCAACGCCGCGUGAGGGUAGAAGGCCUUCGGGUUGUAAACCUCUUUCAGCAGGGACGAAGCGCAAGUGACGGUACCUGCAAAAGAAGGACCGGCCAACUACGUGCCAGCAGCCGCGGUAAUACGUAGGGUCCGAGCGUUGUCCGGAAUUAUUGGGCGUAAAGGGCUCGUAGGCGGUUUGUCGCGUCGGGAGUGAAAACUCAGGGCUUAACCCUGAGCGUGCUUCCGAUACGGGCAGACUAGAGGUAUGCAGGGGAGAACGGAAUUCCUGGUGUAGCGGUGGAAUGCGCAGAUAUCAGGAGGAACACCGGUGGCGAAGGCGGUUCUCUGGGCAUUACCUGACGCUGAGGAGCGAAAGCAUGGGGAGCGAACAGGAUUAGAUACCCUGGUAGUCCAUGCCGUAAACGUUGGGCGCUAGGUGUGGGGACCUUCCACGGUUUCCGUGCCGCAGCUAACGCAUUAAGCGCCCCGCCUGGGUAGUACGGCCGCAAGGCUAAAACUCAAAGGAAUUGACGGGGGCCCGCACAAGCGGCGGAGCAUGCUGAUUAAUUCGAUGCAACGCGAAGAACCUUACCUGGGUUUGACAUAUACCGGAAAGC
This 800-nucleotide ribosomal RNA is filed under the name uncultured bacterium. RNAcentral describes it as "bacterial SSU rRNA". It matches the Rfam family "Bacterial small subunit ribosomal RNA", at positions 184 to 998 of the family's 1533-position model. The record is from RNAcentral.